This 441-nucleotide ribosomal RNA is filed under the name uncultured bacterium. RNAcentral describes it as "partial 16S ribosomal RNA". It matches the Rfam family "Bacterial small subunit ribosomal RNA", at positions 338 to 795 of the family's 1533-position model. The record is from RNAcentral.
CCUACGGGUGGCAGCAGUGGGGAAUAUUGCACAAUGGGGGGAACCCUGAUGCAGCGACGCCGCGUGGGUGAAGGAGUAUUUCGGUAUGUAAAGCCCUAUCAGCAGGGAAGAACAAUGACGGUACCUGACUCAGAAGCACCGGCUAAAUACGUGCCAGCAGCCGCGGUAAUACGUAUGGUGCAAGCGUUAUCCGGAUUUACUGGGUGUAAAGGGAGCGCAGGCGGCGCGUUAAGCCUGGUGUGAAAGCCCGGGGCCCAACCGCGGGACUGCAUUGGGAACUGGCGCGCUGGAGUGCCGGAGGGGUAGGCGGAAUUACUAGUGUAGCGGUGAAAUGCGUAGAUAUUAGGAGGAACACCAGUGGCGAAGGCGGCCUACUGGACGGUGACUGACGCUGAGGCUCGAAAGCGUGGGGAGCAAACAGGAUUAGAUACCCUUGUAGUC